This is a long non-coding RNA of Calidris pugnax (ruff), 1852 nucleotides long. RefSeq lists it as uncharacterized. The record is from RefSeq and is a predicted model, not a curated record. Lineage: Eukaryota; Metazoa; Chordata; Aves; Charadriiformes; Scolopacidae. The transcript has 4 exons.
GGGAUGGGCCCCGGGGUGCAGGGGAAGGAGUGUGAGGGACAGCCAGGCAGAAGAGAAGGGGACAACAAUUAAUCAAUGAAUAUUUUAUACAAAUAUGGAUAUAAAAUAAUGAUUUUCCCCAUUCUGUUGCUUUGUGGUCAGAUGCAGUGUCCUUCCUCACUGAUGGAGAUGGCCAGUGGCACCUGCAAAGUUCCUCUCCUGGCCAAAAUCACCAGCUGCAGAAUUCAACACUGCUGGUCAAUGGAUUUACUUGGGAAUUAGGUCUUCUGGAAAAGAGAAAGAUUUCUGCUUGAGCACUACGCCGGAGCCCAGGUAUUUACAGAGACGUUAACCGCUGAUGCAGCACUGAUCUCCACGGCUCUUCCACCAGGUGAGCCCCAAAGCAGCAGGAACAAUUUGGGGAGAGACUGAGCAACUUCAGUCAAGCCCAAAGCAGGAUGGUAAUGCAGCCUGAAGCUUUGCGUUGGACACUUGGGAACCCAAAUAUGAUGGAGAAGCAGCCAGGCAGUGUUCUGGAGGAUCUCAAGCAGCUGCAUAUUCAAGGAGACGCUGUUCUGCAAGAAGGGAAAGUAUGAAAGAUACGACGCAAGACCUGGAAUCAGGAAUGUGGAGUUCCAGUUCCAGCGAUUCAUUAGGAAACCCUCAGAGAACGACGUAGCUAUUCCUUUUUUCAGCACUGCCAAAAAUGCUCUGCAGCAAGGUCCAAGGGUGCCAAGCAUCUGUACACUGGAUUCAAGAUCUGAUACUUCUGCACAAGAUCCAUCAAUAUCCAUCUUUCCUAAACAUGCACAUUCCAAAUUUUUGUUUUAUCUAACAAACCAAAAGUCCUUAUGAAGAAUAUAUGAACCAUACAAUUACUACCACCAAACAAUUACUACGUACAGAAAUUAAUUCCAAAAGGCAAACAAUAAAAUAUAGAAAGAAUCAGCAGUGGGAGCCUUAAACAAAGUAAUUGCCACCUGUGAUUGCUGUGCUGAAGAUUGCCGUCCAUCAAGAAGGACUUGAAAAGUAUUCUGAAAAGACAAGCCCAGGAAUAAAAAUGGCAGGACAGAAAAAACACAGAUAUAAUGGAGACAUUUGUUUUACCAUACAUUGACAUUUUCCAUGCACAUACUACUCAAUGGCCCAAAGGAAACGAGUAACUGCUGUUCUCUGUUCUGUAUAAGCCCUGUAUUCCUUCUCCCCUUGCAAGUUUUCUUCGCUGUUGCAGAUUCCAGGUACCCUUUCUUCCCUCAAAUUGUUUAACUGAUUUACCCAGCAAAGUUAAAUUCACAGCAAUUUCUUCCUGUCUAUCCUUAGCACAGUUUGCUCUCUGCAUGCCAGGUCUGAAGAGUUUAUAUCUGUCACAGUCUGGGUAAAACUAUUGCGUCUCUUUGCAAGCAUCCCUUUCUUAAAAAUUUAGGGCACUUGGAAGUAGUUAAAAAUGUAGGUACAGACGAUUAGCACAAAUAUUUCAGAAUUAAUACAUUGUCACAGCCAGUCCUGACCUUGGAUUGUUACAUGCUGCUCCAUCCCCAGACAAAGUAUGAGUUCCUUUGCUGAUCUGUGUGAGCCCUGUUCCACCCAACCCACUGGAGUGAGCCUGCCAUCGGGUCUCUCCCACUGCUAAACCCAAAGGCUGGUGGCUGUGAAGCACCUGCAGAUCUGGCUGCUGCUUUGUAUUUGACACCCGGGGCUGGAUUUGAAAGUCUGGGCCUAUUUCUUAUUACCAGUUCUCAGAAGAAUCCAUUCUACUGCUUUCUCUGCAGCCACUCAAGUAUUUUGUUUAAUUAGUGGAAAAUGAAAGCGGGAUUCAAGACUGUGGUUGUGUUUGCUUUCAUGUAAUAAAAUAACUUAGUGCAAUGGAUUUAAA